RNAcentral lists this ribosomal RNA (253 nucleotides) under uncultured bacterium. RNAcentral describes it as "partial 16S ribosomal RNA". It matches the Rfam family "Bacterial small subunit ribosomal RNA", at positions 524 to 776 of the family's 1533-position model. The record is from RNAcentral.
UACGGAGGGUGCAAGCGUUGUCCGGAUUUAUUGGGUUUAAAGGGUGCGUAGGUGGCCUAUUAAGUCAGUGGUGAAAGUCUGCAGCUUAACUGUAGGAAUGGCAUUGAUACUGAUAGGCUUGAGUAAAGUUGAGGUAGGCGGAAUUGAAGGUGUAGCGGUGAAAUGCAUAGAUAUCUUCAAGAACACCGAUUGCGAAGGCAGCUUACUAAGCUUUAACUGACACUGAGGCACGAAAGCGUGGGGAGCAAACAGG